AUGUUCUUGAAUCACGCUGGAAGACUUGAGGAUGUGCGAAGAUUUUGUUCAGAUCUUCCCGAAUCUAGAUCGAGUCGGGGAGUCUUUGACGAAACUUCGGGAUCUACAAAUAGCGGUCUCCGCAUCAUGGUUUCCAUGAACUACCAUGAGUCCUUGGCAAUGAAUGGUUGUCGUCAGAAAGUUGAUUGCCAUCUUGGAGAUGGAGACUUCGUCGAAUGCAAUUUGGUGUCUGUAAUUUGUGGUUUUCCGUUGUACAUCCGCUAA
Molecule: non-coding RNA, 264 nt
Organism: Vicia faba (fava bean)
Lineage: Eukaryota; Viridiplantae; Streptophyta; Magnoliopsida; Fabales; Fabaceae
Source: the annotation of a GenBank genome assembly